Molecule: transfer RNA, 76 nt
Filed under: Neomoorella thermoacetica
Lineage: Bacteria; Bacillati; Bacillota; Clostridia; Neomoorellales; Neomoorellaceae
Also listed under: 17 other names
Description: Moorella thermoacetica tRNA-Phe
Rfam family: tRNA
About the family: Transfer RNA (tRNA) molecules are approximately 80 nucleotides in length.
Source: RNAcentral
GCCUCGGUAGCUCAGUUGGUAGAGCAGAGGACUGAAAAUCCUCGUGUCGGCGGUUCGAUUCCGCCCUGAGGCACCA